GGGGUGGCUGUGCAGGCAUUGGAGUUCUCCAGAGGGUGUCUCUUGGGCCUGGAAUGUGUCUGGGGGAUGGGCUUACUGCGGAAGGAGUACUGCAGGAAGGAGUGGUGGCGGAUGGUGUCGAAGAUGGAGUAGAGAGCCCAGUCCAAGCCACACAGCACCACCAGCAGCAGCAGAAUGGGCAGUGUCUCCAGGAGCUCCCUCACCUGGCCAAGGAGCAGGAGGGGCAGAGCUGGGCAGUGCCAUCUGCCUGGGCACGGAGCACUCUCUGGUGCCUUUUACCCUCCACCCUCACCUUCAGGCCUGUCUUUGCACCCAGGAGUCCGCUCCCCAUGCUGUCCUCACCACAUUGCUCAUUUCUGAGGCCUGGAUGGUGGGCUUGCAAGGGAAGAUGACGGUUUUCUCCUCAGCUUUGCGGAGUGGCAGCAGAGUCCGUUUGCCCUGGAAAACAAAUGUCCACACAGUUAGGAAGCCCAAGGGCCCUCUGCCCUUUCCUCUCUGCCUUCCUGGAGCAUGAACCCACACAGGGCACACAGCAGCAAGGCAUCCCCGGGCAGUGCCGUGCCCACUCACCAGCUUCUUCCUGCGGUCAUCGAUCUGGCAGAAGUUCUCCUCAUCUAUCCCCAAACAUGGGCUUCCUUGAGGCACAGUCAUUCAACCAACCAGCCAGCAUUCAUUGAGCACCAUCUAUGUCCUGGGCACUGCUAGGGGAUGGUGAUAACAGGGAGAAGACUCUGUCCCUGCCUUCCAAUUGUGUAGAGGAAGACAUCCCCCUACAUGAUGGGUGAGACAUAGCAGAAGUGAGUAGGGGAUGAGGUGGGGGCUCAGAGGAGGGCAUGGUCAGCCUGUCUGGGAGGGAGUUGCAUGUGUGCAUCUGAGGUAGGGACAGGCAUGCAUCUUACAGGAUGAAUAUCGAGCAGAGUUACAGAGAGGGGGAAACUCCUUGAGGUUUCAGGAAUCACCUAAUCCACUGUGACUCACAAAUUCCUGCCUCUUGGCUUUGCCUGCAGCAUAUCUCCUGGAAGUGUGCUGGGGCAAAACUCAUCCCAGACCACCAUCUCCAUCCUCCCCCAAUACACCCUGGCUCUCCCUGGCUACCCUUGAGCACGGUGCACGUGUGCAUGGGUGCAUGCCUGCAUAUAUAGCUAUCCCCCAUGUAUUUCCCAAAGCCCUACAUAAUGCUUCAGUUUGCUAAGGAAAAAAUGUUAAUUAC
RNAcentral lists this long non-coding RNA (1210 nucleotides) under Homo sapiens (human). Its description in RNAcentral is "non-protein coding DCST1-AS1:26". The record is from RNAcentral. Lineage: Eukaryota; Metazoa; Chordata; Mammalia; Primates; Hominidae.